GCAAACUUGGUCAUUUAGAGGAAGUAAAAGUCGUAACAAGGUUUCCGUAGGUGAACCUGCGGAAGGAUCAUUACUGAAGCAUUUAGAAAAGUUGUUGCUGCCUUUGGGAUUGUGCACACUCUUCGAAUCUUCUUAACCACCUGUGCACUUUUGUUAGACUUGUUAAUGAUUUCUCACUGAAAAAUGUGGAUGGAGAGCUUUUGCUUCAAGGAGCUAGCUUUCAAUGAUUUUUAACAAGUCUAUACUUUUUGUAAACACUUUAAAGUCUCUGAAUGUAUUUUGUGGGUUGUGAUAGACCUAUAAAAAUUUGUAUACAACUUUCAGCAACGGAUCUCUAGGCUCUCGCAUCGAUGAAGAACGCAGC
RNAcentral lists this unclassified non-coding RNA (364 nucleotides) under uncultured fungus. RNAcentral's name for it is "partial contains small subunit ribosomal RNA, internal transcribed spacer 1, and 5.8S ribosomal RNA". The stretch from base 1 to 73 matches the Rfam family "Eukaryotic small subunit ribosomal RNA", at positions 1759 to 1831 of the family's 1831-position model. The record is from RNAcentral. Lineage: Eukaryota; Fungi.